This 382-nucleotide ribosomal RNA is filed under the name Stenodactylus leptocosymbotes (Eastern sand gecko). RNAcentral describes it as "partial 12S ribosomal RNA". The stretch from base 41 to 382 matches the Rfam family "Bacterial small subunit ribosomal RNA", at positions 875 to 1381 of the family's 1533-position model. Lineage: Eukaryota; Metazoa; Chordata; Lepidosauria; Squamata; Gekkonidae. The record is from RNAcentral.
CCAGCCAUAAACAGACAGCAAACCAACAAACUGUCCGCCAGAGAACUACUAGCAAAAAGCUUAAAACUCAAAGGACUUGACGGUGUCCCACAUCAACCUAGAGGAGCCUGUCCUACAAUCGAUAACCCACGCUUCACCCUACCUGCCCUCGCCCAAGUCUAUAUACCGCCGUCUUCAGCCUACCUAAUGAUAGCCCCAAGUAGGCACCACCACCACCCCCGUACACACGACAGGUCAAGGUGUAACUAAUGAGCAGGCAGAGAUGGGCUACAUUUUCUUCGCACCAAGAAAAAACCAACCGCGCAAUGAAACCACGCCAACAAGGAGGAUUUAGCAGUAAGCCUGAUAUAAACCAUGCCAGACUGAACUAUGCCCUGGGACG